This 301-nucleotide ribosomal RNA is filed under the name uncultured bacterium. RNAcentral describes it as "partial 16S ribosomal RNA". It matches the Rfam family "Bacterial small subunit ribosomal RNA", at positions 509 to 809 of the family's 1533-position model. The record is from RNAcentral.
CAGUAGCCGCGGUAAUACGUAGGGUGCAAGCGUUAAUCGGAAUUACUGGGCGUAAAGCGUGCGCAGGCGGUUUUGUAAGACAGAGGUGAAAUCCCCGGGCUCAACCUGGGAACUGCCUUUGUGACUGCAAGGCUAGAGUACGGCAGAGGGGGAUGGAAUUCCGCGUGUAGCAGUGAAAUGCGUAGAUAUGCGGAGGAACACCGAUGGCGAAGGCAAUCCCCUGGGCCUGUACUGACGCUCAUGCACGAAAGCGUGGGGAGCAAACAGGAUUAGAUACCCCCGUAGUCCCUGUCUCUUAUAA